UAGGGAAUCUUCCACAAUGGACGCAAGUCUGAUGGAGCAACGCCGCGUGAGUGAAGAAGGUUUUCGGACCGUAAAGCUCUGUUGUUGGUGAAGAAGGAUAGAGGUAGUAACUGGCCUUUAUUUGACGGUAAUCAACCAGAAAGUCACGGCUAACUACGUGCCAGCAGCCGCGGUAAUCGUAGGUGGCAAGCGUUGUCCGGAUUUAUUGGGCGUAAAGCGAGCGCAGGCGGAAGAAUAAGUCUGAUGUGAAAGCCCUCGGCUUAACCGAGGAAUUGCAUCGGAAACUGUUUUCU
This 293-nucleotide ribosomal RNA is filed under the name uncultured bacterium. RNAcentral describes it as "partial 16S ribosomal RNA". It matches the Rfam family "Bacterial small subunit ribosomal RNA", at positions 355 to 642 of the family's 1533-position model. The record is from RNAcentral.